RNAcentral lists this ribosomal RNA (1353 nucleotides) under metagenome. RNAcentral describes it as "bacterial LSU rRNA". It matches the Rfam family "Bacterial large subunit ribosomal RNA", at positions 1564 to 2925 of the family's 2925-position model. The record is from RNAcentral.
CGAGUCCGAGUCUCCACGGAGACGAAGUGGCGGUCAUCCAGCUUCCUAGAAAAGCUCUAACCACGUUAAUCUUUAGUUGCCUGUACCCGAAACCGACACAGGUAGGGGGGUAGAGAAUACCAAGGGGCGCGAGAUAACUCUCUCUAAGGAACUCGGCAAAAUGACCCCGUAACUUCGGGAGAAGGGGUACCACUGAGAAGUGGUCGCAGUGAAGAGGCCCAGGCGACUGUUUACCAAAAACACAGGUCUCCGCCAAGUCGCAAGACGAAGUAUGGGGGCUGACGCCUGCCCAGUGCCGGAAGGUUAAGGAAGUGGGUUAGGGAUUCGUCCCGAAGCUGACGACUGAAGCCCCGGUGAACGGCGGCCGUAACUAUAACGGUCCUAAGGUAGCGAAAUUCCUUGUCGGGUAAGUUCCGACCCGCACGAAAGGCGUAACGAUCUGGGCGCUGUCUCGGAGAGAGGCUCGGCGAAAUAGGAUUGUCUGUGAAGAUACGGACUACCUGCACCUGGACAGAAAGACCCUAUGAAGCUUUACUGUAGCUUGGAAUUGGGUUCGGGCUUGGUUUGCGCAGGAUAGGUGGGAGGCGAAGAAGAAUUGCUUGUGGGUGAAUCUGAGCCAACGGUGAGAUACCACUCUAACCAGGCUAGAAUUCUAACUUCAACCCGUCAACCGGGGGAAGGACAGUUUCAGGUGGGCAGUUUGACUGGGGCGGUCGCCUCCUAAAAGAUAACGGAGGCGCACAAAGGUUCCCUCAGGCUGGUUGGAAAUCAGCCAACGAGUGCAAAGGCAGAAGGGAGCUUGACUGCGAGACCUACAAGUCAAGCAGGGUGGAAACACGGUCUUAGUGAUCCGACGGCACCGAGUGGAAGGGCCGUCGCUCAACGGAUAAAAGUUACUCUAGGAUAACAGGCUGAUCUCCCCCAAGAGUUCACAUCGACGGGGAGGUUUGGCACCUCGAUGUCGGCUCAUCGCAACCUGGGGCGGAAGUACGUCCCAAGGGUUGGGCUGUUCGCCCAUUAAAGCGGUACGUGAGCUGGGUUCAGAACGUCGUGAGACAGUUCGGUCCAUAUCCGGUGUAGGCGCAAGAACAUUGAGAGGAGUCUUCCUUAGUACGAGAGGACCGGGAAGAACGCACCGCUGGUGUACCUGUUAUCGUGCCAACGGUAAACGCAGGGUAGCCAAGUGCGGAGUGGAUAACCGCUGAAAGCAUCUAAGUGGGAAGCCCACCUCAAGAUGAGUGUUCUCAUGGAGUAAUCCAGUAAGGUCACGGGAAGACGACCCGUUGAUAGGCGGUAGGUGGAAGUUCAGCAAUGGAUGAAGCCGAGCCGUACUAACAGACCGAGGGCUUGAUC